Lontra canadensis (Northern American river otter) is the source of this 309-nucleotide long non-coding RNA. RefSeq lists it as uncharacterized. The record is from RefSeq and is a predicted model, not a curated record. The transcript has 3 exons. NCBI's taxonomy places the organism in Eukaryota, Metazoa, Chordata, Mammalia, Carnivora, Mustelidae.
GACCCACCAGGACAGAGGCGGCAGUGGGGAGCGUGCCUGCGUCGCUCGGUGCCGUGACAGCGAGGAGCGCGGCGCGGGGCCGGGUAGCAAGGGGAGUUUCCGUCCUCGCUCAAGUGGAGCUCAGCUCGGAGCUGCGCCAGCGCCUUCCGCCUGGGCCCGCGGUGCCAGACACCUGCCGAGUCCGAAGCGGGAGUCCGGCUGAGCCUUCGGUCCCCAAAAUCACCAAUCUGAGCAUAUGCCACUUGACAUGGGAACACUGAGGCCAGCAAUUUAAGGAUUUUCACAUUUAUCUGCAGAGGGUCCUGGAUC